Molecule: ribosomal RNA, 716 nt
Filed under: Pseudomonas sp.
Lineage: Bacteria; Pseudomonadati; Pseudomonadota; Gammaproteobacteria; Pseudomonadales; Pseudomonadaceae
Description: bacterial SSU rRNA
Rfam family: Bacterial small subunit ribosomal RNA
Source: RNAcentral
GCCUAACACAUGCAAGUCGAGCGGAUGAGAGGAGCUUGCUCCUGGAUUCAGCGGCGGACGGGUGAGUAAUGCCUAGGAAUCUGCCUGGUAGUGGGGGACAACGUUUCGAAAGGAACGCUAAUACCGCAUACGUCCUACGGGAGAAAGCAGGGGACCUUCGGGCCUUGCGCUAUCAGAUGAGCCUAGGUCGGAUUAGCUAGUUGGUGAGGUAAUGGCUCACCAAGGCGACGAUCCGUAACUGGUCUGAGAGGAUGAUCAGUCACACUGGAACUGAGACACGGUCCAGACUCCUACGGGAGGCAGCAGUGGGGAAUAUUGGACAAUGGGCGAAAGCCUGAUCCAGCCAUGCCGCGUGUGUGAAGAAGGUCUUCGGAUUGUAAAGCACUUUAAGUUGGGAGGAAGGGCAGUAACUUAAUACGUUGCUGUUUUGACGUUACCGACAGAAUAAGCACCGGCUAACUCUGUGCCAGCAGCCGCGGUAAUACAGAGGGUGCAAGCGUUAAUCGGAAUUACUGGGCGUAAAGCGCGCGUAGGUGGUUUGUUAAGUUGGAUGUGAAAGCCCCGGGCUCAACCUGGGAACUGCAUUCAAAACUGACAAGCUAGAGUAUGGUAGAGGGUGGUGGAAUUUCCUGUGUAGCGGUGAAAUGCGUAGAUAUAGGAAGGAACACCAGUGGCGAAGGCGACCACCUGGACUGAUACUGACACUGACCAUGCGA